AUUCCCCUAGUAACGGCGAGUGAAGAGGGAAGAGCCCAAGAUUGAAAGCUGGCGCCUUCGGCGUCCGCAUUGUAAUCUCAAGAAGUGUUUUCCGCUUCGGACCAUGCCUAAGUCCCUUGGAAAAGGGCAUCAUAGAGGGUGAUAAUCCCGUACAUGGCAUGGAGCGCCCGUAGCUUUGUGAUACGCUUUCUAAGAGUCGAGUUGUUUGGGAAUGCAGCUCAAAAUGGGUGGUAAAUGCCAUCUAAGGCUAAAUAUUGGGGAGAGACCGAUAGCGAACAAGUACAGUGAUGGAAAGAUGAAAAGAACUUUGAAAAGAGAGUUAAACAGUACGUGAAAUUGCCAAAAGGGAAGGGUAGGAGGUCAGAGAUGCGGCUUGGGAUUCAGCCUUGCUUUUGCAUGGUGUUUUUCCCCUGUUGCAGGCCAACGUCGGUUUUGGGCACUGGAGAAGGGUGGAAGGAACGUGGCAUCUCUUCGGGGAUGUGUUAUAGCCUUCUACUGGAUACAGCGACCGAGACCGAGGACAGCAGCGUACUCGCAAGAGCGGGCCUUCGGGCACCUUUACGCUUAGGGCGUUGGCAUAAUGGCCCUCUACCACCCGUCUUGA
RNAcentral lists this ribosomal RNA (604 nucleotides) under Anomalomyces sp. RNAcentral describes it as "LSU rRNA". It matches the Rfam family "Eukaryotic large subunit ribosomal RNA", at positions 74 to 657 of the family's 3401-position model. The record is from RNAcentral. Lineage: Eukaryota; Fungi; Basidiomycota; Ustilaginomycetes; Ustilaginales.